UUGGGCGUAAGAGAUGCGUAGGUGGUCGGUAAAGUUUUUGGUGAAAUCCCCGGGCUCAACCCGGGAACUGCCAAGAAUACUCACCGACUUCGAGGGAAUCAGGGGGUACUGGAACUCGUGGUGUAGUAGUAAUAUGCGUUGAUAUCACGAGGAACACCAAAGGCGAAGGCAGGUACCUGGGAUUCUCCUGACACUAAGGCUCGAAAGCGUGGGGAGCGAAACGGAUUAGAUACCCGUGUAGUCCACGCCGUAAACGAUGGAUACUAGAUGCUUGGGGUAUUGACCCCCUGGGCGUCGCAAGCUAACGCGUUAAGUAUCCCGCCUGGGGAGUACGGUCGCAAGACUAAAACUCAAAGGAAUUGACGGGGAACCGCACAAGCGGUGGAGCGCGUGGUUUAAUUCGAUGCUAAGCGAAGAACCUCACCGAGGUUUGACAUGCUACUGCUAAGCCUAUGAAAGUAGGCCUCCUUCGAGGGUGUAGCACAGGUGUUGCACGGCUGUUGUCAGCUCGUGUCGUGAGAUGUCUGCUUAAGUGCUUUAACGAGCGCAACCCCUGCGAUAAGUUGUAUCACUCUUAUCGGACUGCCUGUAUCAUAUACAGGAGGAAGGCGGGGAUGACUUCAAGUCUGC
Molecule: ribosomal RNA, 630 nt
Filed under: uncultured bacterium
Lineage: Bacteria
Description: bacterial SSU rRNA
Rfam family: Bacterial small subunit ribosomal RNA
Source: RNAcentral